UGGCGACCGGCGCACGGGUGAGUAACGCGUAUCCAACCUUCCCUAUACUAGAGGAUAGCCCGGCGAAAGUCGGAUUAAUACUCUAUGUUGUAUUUCGAGGACAUCUGAAUAAUACCAAAGGUUUACCGGUAUAGGAUGGGGAUGCGUCUGAUUAGGUUGUUGGCGGGGUAACGGCCCACCAAGCCCACGAUCAGUAGGGGUUCUGAGAGGAAGGUCCCCCACAUUGGAACUGAGACACGGUCCAAACUCCUACGGGAGGCAGCAGUGAGGAAUAUUGGUCAAUGGACGAGAGUCUGAACCAGCCAAGUAGCGUGCAGGAUGACGGCCCUAUGGGUUGUAAACUGCAUUUAUACAGGGAUAAAGUGCACUACGUGUAGUGUUUUGUAGGUACUGUAUGAAUAAGGACCGGCUAAUUCCGUGCCAGCAGCAGC
RNAcentral lists this ribosomal RNA (431 nucleotides) under uncultured bacterium. RNAcentral's name for it is "bacterial SSU rRNA". It matches the Rfam family "Bacterial small subunit ribosomal RNA", at positions 89 to 518 of the family's 1533-position model. The record is from RNAcentral.